UGGUAGAGUACUCGGCUUUUAACCGACUAGUUCCGGGUUCGAGUCCCGGGCAACCCAA
RNAcentral lists this transfer RNA (58 nucleotides) under Casearia commersoniana. It matches the Rfam family "tRNA", at positions 16 to 71 of the family's 71-position model. Rfam says of the family: Transfer RNA (tRNA) molecules are approximately 80 nucleotides in length. Their secondary structure includes four short double-helical elements and three loops (D, anti-codon, and T loops). The record is from RNAcentral. Lineage: Eukaryota; Viridiplantae; Streptophyta; Magnoliopsida; Malpighiales; Salicaceae.